GUGCUCCUACGGGGCGCAGCAGUGGGGAAUAUUGCACAAUGGGGGAAACCCUGAUGCAGCGACGCCGCGUGAGCGAAGAAGUAUUUCGGUAUGUAAGGCUCUAUCAGCAGGGAAGAAAAUGACGGUACCUGACUAAGAAGCUCCGGCUAAAUACGUUCCAGCAGCCGCGGUAAUACGUAUGGAGCAAGCGUUAUCCGGAUUUACUGGGCGUAAAGGGAGCGCAGGCGGUCCGGCAAGUCUGCUGUGAAAGGCGGGGGUCCAACCCCCG
Molecule: ribosomal RNA, 268 nt
Filed under: uncultured bacterium
Lineage: Bacteria
Description: partial 16S ribosomal RNA
Rfam family: Bacterial small subunit ribosomal RNA
Source: RNAcentral